GGAGUUUCUCAGUCGGGGGCAUAGAGCGCUGCGCAGGUGUGCCCUUUGAAAUUUAGGCGGUUUUAUGUUAUUCAGGGACUUGCGGUUAUACUCCAUUAUUUUUGGUGUGUUGACGUCUUGCUUAGGGGGGGAGGGCGAAAGCUACGUAUGUGAUCGAUUUUUGAGUGCUCAGUCUAAUGGGCAUUCGAGGUUCUGGUGAUGUCUGGUCUUGGC
Non-coding RNA from Pelobates cultripes (western spadefoot toad), 213 nucleotides. The record is from the annotation of a GenBank genome assembly. NCBI's taxonomy places the organism in Eukaryota, Metazoa, Chordata, Amphibia, Anura, Pelobatidae.